This 475-nucleotide ribosomal RNA is filed under the name Enterococcus faecalis. RNAcentral's name for it is "bacterial SSU rRNA". It matches the Rfam family "Bacterial small subunit ribosomal RNA", at positions 294 to 761 of the family's 1533-position model. Lineage: Bacteria; Bacillati; Bacillota; Bacilli; Lactobacillales; Enterococcaceae. The record is from RNAcentral.
GAGAGGGUGAUCGGCCACACUGGGACUGAGACACGGCCCAGACUCCUACGGGAGGCAGCAGUAGGGAAUCUUCGGCAAUGGACGAAAGUCUGACCGAGCAACGCCGCGUGAGUGAAGAAGGUUUUCGGAUCGUAAAACUCUGUUGUUAGAGAAGAACAAGGACGUUAGUAACUGAACGUCCCCUGACGGUAUCUAACCAGAAAGCCACGGCUAACUACGUGCCAGCAGCCGCGGUAAUACGUAGGUGGCAAGCGUUGUCCGGAUUUAUUGGGCGUAAAGCGAGCGCAGGCGGUUUCUUAAGUCUGAUGUGAAAGCCCCCGGCUCAACCGGGGAGGGUCAUUGGAAACUGGGAGACUUGAGUGCAGAAGAGGAGAGUGGAAUUCCAUGUGUAGCGGUGAAAUGCGUAGAUAUAUGGAGGAACACCAGUGGCGAAGGCGGCUCUCUGGUCUGUAACUGACGCUGAGGCUCGAAAGCG